GAGUAAUGUCUGGGAAACUGCCUGAUGGAGGGGGAUAACUACUGGAAACGGUGGCUAAUACCGCAUAACGUCGCAAGACCAAAGAGGGGGACCUUCGGGCCUCUUGCCAUCAGAUGUGCCCAGAUGGGAUUAGCUAGUUGGUGAGGUAACGGCUCACCAAGGCGACGAUCCCUAGCUGGUCUGAGAGGAUGACCAGCCACACUGGAACUGAGACACGGUCCAGACUCCUACGGGAGGCAGCAGUGGGGAAUAUUGCACAAUGGGCGCAAGCCUGAUGCAGCCAUGCCGCGUGUAUGAAGAAGGCCUUCGGGUUGUAAAGUACUUUCAGCGGGGAGG
RNAcentral lists this ribosomal RNA (336 nucleotides) under Salmonella enterica subsp. enterica serovar Oranienburg. RNAcentral's name for it is "partial 16S ribosomal RNA". It matches the Rfam family "Bacterial small subunit ribosomal RNA", at positions 108 to 447 of the family's 1533-position model. Lineage: Bacteria; Pseudomonadati; Pseudomonadota; Gammaproteobacteria; Enterobacterales; Enterobacteriaceae. The record is from RNAcentral. RNAcentral also lists the same sequence under 16 other names.